Molecule: unclassified non-coding RNA, 337 nt
Filed under: soil metagenome
Description: partial contains 5.8S ribosomal RNA, internal transcribed spacer 2, and large subunit ribosomal RNA
Rfam family: 5.8S ribosomal RNA (bases 1-120)
Source: RNAcentral
GAUGAAGAACGCAGCGAAAUGCGAUAAGUAGUGUGAAUUGCAGAAUUCAGUGAAUCAUCGAAUCUUUGAACGCACAUUGCGCCCCUUGGUAUUCCAUGGGGCAUGCCUGUUCGAGCGUCAUUUGUACCUUCAAGCUCUGCUUGGUGUUGGGUGUUUGUCUCGCCUCUGCGUGUAGACUCACCUCAAAACAAUUGGCAGCCGGCGUAUUGAUUUCGGAGCGCAGUACAUCUCGCGCUUUGCACUCAUAACGACGACGUCCAAAAGUACAUUUUUACACUCUUGACCUCGGAUCAGGUAGGGAUACCCGCUGAACUUAAGCAUAUCAAUAAGCGGAGGA